This 227-nucleotide unclassified non-coding RNA is filed under the name Hevea brasiliensis (rubber tree). Lineage: Eukaryota; Viridiplantae; Streptophyta; Magnoliopsida; Malpighiales; Euphorbiaceae. The record is from RNAcentral.
GAAACCAGAUCUGCAAAAUUCAAACAGUAGAUCCCAAGAAAAAUAAAAACCCUAAUUUUACAAUCUCUCUAUCGAUUCGUCUUCGAAUCGAAAAUUUAAGCGAUGGGCGAUUUCAAUCUCGCUCUAAUUAUUGUUGCUAUAGUGGUGUGCAUUAUCGUUUUUAUCUUCAAUGUGUAUCUUCUCGUCAAUUACCAACAUCCAGAUGACAAGAACCAGGCUUAUUUCCC